RNAcentral lists this ribosomal RNA (422 nucleotides) under uncultured bacterium. Its description in RNAcentral is "bacterial SSU rRNA". It matches the Rfam family "Bacterial small subunit ribosomal RNA", at positions 355 to 774 of the family's 1533-position model. The record is from RNAcentral.
UGAGGAAUAUUGGUCAAUGGGCGAGAGCCUGAACCAGCCAAGUCGCGUGAAGGAUGAAGGUUCUAUGGAUCGUAAACUUCUUUUAUAGGGGAAUAAAGUGAGCUACGUGUAGCUUUUUGUAUGUACCCUAAGAAUAAGGAUCGGCUAACUCCGUGCCAGCAGCCGCGGUAAUACGGAGGAUCCGAGCGUUAUCCGGAUUUACUGGGUGUAAAGGGCGAGUAGGCGGGCUUGUAAGUCAGAUGUGAAAUCUGGGGGCUCAACCCCCAAACUGCAUUUGAAACUAUGAGUCUUGAGUGAUGGAGAGGCAGGCGGAAUUCCCAGUGUAGCGGUGAAAUGCGUAGAUAUUAGGAGGAACACCAGUGGCGAAGGCGGCCUGCUGGGCUUUUACUGACGCUGAGGCUCGAAAGUGUGGGUAGCAAACA